RNAcentral lists this ribosomal RNA (1194 nucleotides) under uncultured Rozellomycota. Its description in RNAcentral is "SSU rRNA". It matches the Rfam family "Eukaryotic small subunit ribosomal RNA", at positions 457 to 1727 of the family's 1831-position model. The record is from RNAcentral. Lineage: Eukaryota; Fungi; Rozellomycota.
CACAGGGAGGUAGUGACAGUAAAUAACAAUGCAGAGCCCUUUGGGUUUUGCAAUUGGAAUGAGAACAAUUUAAAUCCCUUAUCGAGUAACAAUUGGAGGGCAAGUCUGGUGCCAGCAGCCGCGGUAAUUCCAGCUCCAAUAGCGUAUAUUAAAGUUGUUGCAGUUAAAAAGCUCGUAGUUGAACUUUUGGUGAGGUGCUGUGGUGUAGAAAUUCUGCACUGCAGUGCUGAGCCUGUUUUGGGGGAUGCGUCACUUGUGGCGAGGAGCCCGGGUUACUGUGAAGAAAUUAGAGUGUUUAAAGCAGGCGAUCGCUUGAAUACAUUAGCAUGGAAUAACAAGAUAGGACUUGGUUCUUCUUGUUGGUUUAGGAGCCAAAGUAAUGAUUAAUAGGGCCAGUCGGGGGCAUUAGUAUUCAGCAGUCAGAGGUGAAAUUCUUGGAUUUGCUGAAGACUAACUAGUGCGAAAGCAUUUGCCAAGGAUGUUUUCAUUAAUCAAGAACGAAAGUUAGGGGAUCGAAGACGAUCAGAUACCGUCGUAGUCUUAACUAUAAACGAUGCCGACUCGGGAUCGGCAGGCUUCGUUCGCGAACCUGUCGGCACCGUGUGAGAAAUCAAAGUUUUUGGGUUCUGGGGGGAGUAUGGUCGCAAGGCUGAAACUUAAAGGAAUUGACGGAAGGGCACCACCAGGAGUGGAGCCUGCGGCUUAAUUUGACUCAACACGGGAAAACUCACCAGGUCCGGACAUAGUAAGGAUUGACAGAUUGAGAGCUCUUUCUUGAUUCUGUGGGUGGUGGUGCAUGGCCGUUCUUAGUUGGUGGAGUGAUUUGUCUGGUUAAUUCCGAUAACGAACGAGACCUUAACCUGCUAACUAGUGUGCAUUACUUGCGUAGUGCAUGACUYCUUAGAGGGACUGACUAUGUUUAAUAGUCGGAAGUUUGAGGCAAUAACAGGUCUGUGAUGCCCUUAGAUGUUCUGGGCUGCACGCGCGCUACACUGACAAAGGCAGCGAGUAUACCUUGGCCGAGAGGUCUGGGAAAUCUUGUGAAACUUUGUCGUGCUGGGGAUAGAUCAUUGCAAUUAUUGGUCUUGAACGAGGAAUUCCUAGUAAGCGCAAGUCAUCAGCUUGCGUUGAUUACGUCCCUGCCCUUUGUACACACCGCCCGUCGCUACUACCGAUUGAAUGGCUUAGUGAGGC